GCCCGAUUAACUCAGCUGGUCAGAGUGUCGUACUAAUACAUUGAGCUUCCAUCUCUUUGUUCUGGUUAUGCGAAAGUUGACAGUUUAAACCUGUCAUUGGGCA
Molecule: non-coding RNA, 103 nt
Organism: Schizothecium vesticola
Lineage: Eukaryota; Fungi; Ascomycota; Sordariomycetes; Sordariales; Schizotheciaceae
Source: the annotation of a GenBank genome assembly